AUUUAAAUAGUUUAAUAUAAAUUUUGAUUUGUGGGAUCAGAGAUACAGAAAUGUUUUAAAUA
RNAcentral lists this transfer RNA (62 nucleotides) under Aderidae sp. GENSP01. RNAcentral's name for it is "tRNA-His". The record is from RNAcentral. Lineage: Eukaryota; Metazoa; Arthropoda; Insecta; Coleoptera; Aderidae.